Drosophila ananassae is the source of this 2352-nucleotide long non-coding RNA. RefSeq lists it as uncharacterized. The record is from RefSeq and is a predicted model, not a curated record. NCBI's taxonomy places the organism in Eukaryota, Metazoa, Arthropoda, Insecta, Diptera, Drosophilidae. The transcript has 2 exons.
UCUUAGAGUGUAUCCAUGGCUUGUGUUUCGAUGGGAAGGCCCACAAGUCAAUCAAUAGGACCACCCCCUACAAAAAUAUUGGUCUUGGAUGGCCACCACCAUCCCCUGAAAUUAACCCAAAUAUGUACCUGGAAACCAUCUAUAUCCAUCUAUUUAGUUAAAUUAUAAAAAUAGGACUACCCCCUCCAGCAAAUUGAGGGAAAAAGUGGAAAAAAGCCCUCCUGGCAAUUAAAAGCAUGCUAUGCAGUGUCCUUCCUCGUCCUUUUUGGCCAUAAUUACAUUUCAAGCCAUAAAAAUGCCUCGAGUGAUUUACUUUUUUUUUCUACUCUGAUUCGACUCUGACGAUAAAAAUUAAAAAAUAUAUAUAUAUUUGUAGUACUUUUUUUAUGGUUCUGUUUCUAAAAAAGUUUUUAUAUUUAAAAGUGAUAAUAAACAGUCUAGAUUUGAUAAUGAAAUGGCAAUUUUUAAUUAUAAUUAUUGACUUCACAAAAAUUUGUGACUUUUUAAAGACAAAGAAAUACUUGAAAAAUUGUUGAAAAUUUUUUAAAGCAAUUUUCCAGUUGAAAGUCAAAAAAUUAUUAAGUCAUCGUAGUCGGUCGUAUUUUAAUUUAUGCAUUUUUUUUUUUAUUUUUGCUUUUGACAGUUAUGGGGGCUUUUUCAUUGCUACCGCGAAUCGUUAAGCGGAUUACGUGCAUUUCCCCCCACUCCAUCCCACUGUGCAUCAAUAAACGAAUUGCACACACACAAAAAGAGAGAGAGAGAGAGAUAGAAACAAGGGGCUUGCACAUUUUACCGUAAAAGAGUACCACGUACUACGUAGUACAUACAUACGUAGCUAUUUUGUCAUUUUACAGUUUAUGAUGUGACCAAAGGAUGGAAAGUAUGAGAAGGAGGAGAAGGAGGAAGAUGGACGAUGAGAGACGCUGCCACAAUAUGGCCGCGAGAUACAGUUAUCAAUUUGCACAAUUGAGAGGAGAGCUGGGCGGGAAACAAGCUGAUAAAUAAAUUGCCAUGGUAAUUGACCAAGACAUACAAUAUACGGUAAAAUGAAGUUAUAAGACAAGGCUGACACUGAGAAAAAUAAAGUUGAAAUAUUUUUAUUUUAAUAAAAAAAUAAAUUUUAAAACAAAAAAAUUGGUAAAAACUAUAAUUAUAGUUUUUCAAUUAAAUAUUUAUAUAUAUAUUUAUAUAUAUAUAUUUUUUUUUGCGUGUAAAAGUGCAAAAGCAUUAAUAAAGCAAAAUAAAAAAAGCGGAACGCUGUCGGCGUCGACGGCGGCGGCGACGUCAACGCAUUCAAGCGGAAAUAAUUGAAAGCGAUGGUGGGGCAUAAAGCAGUGGGGAUAGGGGAUAGGAGGAUAGGGAGAAGCAAAGGCAGGUGCAAAUAGAGGAGAUGCAAAGAGAGAGCAAAGGUUGGACAGCAAAAAUGUGAGCCUAUUAAAUCCGAGACAACUACGGGUCGGAGUCUGGCCAGCCAAAUUAGACAGAAAAGAGCAAACACAGCUAGAAAUGAACAAACAAACAAACAAACAUACAUACAUACAUAUGUACUUAAGUACCUCUAUAUAUGUAUGUAUGUAAGUACGAAAACUCGGACACAAAGGUCGCGCUCUCGUCGCUCGCUCUUGCGUCGCCAUCUCUCCCACUCCUCUGUCCUCUCUCCUCUCCGGGUGCACACCUGUGGCACGCUUUAUGUUUAUUAAUAAUUUAUAAACAUCAGAGAUAGCCGAGAAAAGCAAAAAAACAACAAUAAACAUGCUUGAGGAGGUCCUUCGCAAAAUGUAAACAAGAAAGAUGCCAAAAAUAAUACCAAUGAUUACCGUCAAUGGUUAACGAAGAAAAAUAAAAAGCAUAUAUUUCUGCGUCCAGCUUACGCAUUUACGCACUGCCAUCGUACACUCACACACACACACAGAUACACAGAGAGCUGCUACUCCCACACAUACAUACAUUGGAGGACUUGCAGACACAAACAUUCUCAAACUCUGUUAUCCUUAACAAAUUUCACAGCAAUAUUUGCACAGUUUCUUCCACCUGAAAAACAAACAAAAUAUCACUACUAGGGGAACUCACAUUUUUAUCAUUUUGGAGGCGGACAGCUGCACAAUUAACAAGAAAAUCAGUAAAAAACAAGAAGAAAAACAAAAGGAAGGAAGGCAAUAACAAAAAUAUACAAUGAAUAUACAGUAAAUAUUUGGUGGCACGAUGGGGGGCGGGCGAUUAAACACAAUUUAUCUAUUCAUUUUCUUUUUAGGCACUUUUCCAGGCCACAGAUGAAAAAUGUUUUCUGCUAUUUAGCUUAGCGCUUGCUUCUGCUUGCCUCUUCUUUUUUUUGCAAUCAAAACGUACACACUG